Long non-coding RNA from Amphimedon queenslandica, 223 nucleotides. RefSeq lists it as uncharacterized. The transcript is spliced from 3 exons. The record is from RefSeq and is a predicted model, not a curated record. Lineage: Eukaryota; Metazoa; Porifera; Demospongiae; Haplosclerida; Niphatidae.
GGCACAAGCUUUUGGGUGGGGCUCAAAGCCUCAAACUUAAAGGUCAGGGAAUUCAGCUCAACUUUUAGAGAAAAAUAAGUUAUUGCUGUCUGGUCUGCCACAGUUUGCUCUGGUGUCUUAUAGAGAGGAAGAGGUCUAAAGGGUUCUUAAUAGAUAUGGCAGAAAAUGUAAGUCACAUAUCACAUGUUAAUGUGUAAUUCUUUCCUUGUAUGAUACCAUUGUG